RNAcentral lists this ribosomal RNA (253 nucleotides) under uncultured bacterium. Its description in RNAcentral is "partial 16S ribosomal RNA". It matches the Rfam family "Bacterial small subunit ribosomal RNA", at positions 524 to 776 of the family's 1533-position model. The record is from RNAcentral.
UACGGAGGGGGCUAGCGUUGUUCGGAAUUACUGGGUGUAAAGGGCGUGUAGGCGGUCUCUCAAGUCCGAUGCUAAAGACCGAAGCUCAACUUCGGGGGUGCGUUGGAUACUGUGAGGCUAGACGGUCGGAGAGGGUAGCGGAAUUUCCGGAGUAGCGGUGAAAUGCGCAGAUACCGGAAGGAACGCCAAUAGCGAAAGCAGCUACCUGGACGAUUUGUGACGCUGAGGCGCGAAAGCGUGGGGAGCAAGCCGG